GUAGGAGCCGGCUUGCUGGCGAUGACGGUGUGUCAGCCUCGUGGAUGUCGGCGGAGACUCCGCUAUCGCCAGCAAGCCGGCUCCUAC
RNAcentral lists this unclassified non-coding RNA (87 nucleotides) under Pseudomonas migulae. The record is from RNAcentral. Lineage: Bacteria; Pseudomonadati; Pseudomonadota; Gammaproteobacteria; Pseudomonadales; Pseudomonadaceae.